RNAcentral lists this ribosomal RNA (385 nucleotides) under uncultured bacterium. RNAcentral's name for it is "bacterial SSU rRNA". It matches the Rfam family "Bacterial small subunit ribosomal RNA", at positions 28 to 406 of the family's 1533-position model. The record is from RNAcentral.
GAUGAACGCUAGCGGCAGGCUUAAUACAUGCAAGUCGAGGGGCAGCACGAAUAGCAAUAUUUGGUGGCGACCGGCAAACGGGUGCGGAACACGUACGCAACCUUCCCAAAACUGGUGAAUAGCCCUCCGAAAGGAGGAUUAAUACACCGUACCAUAAUGAGGUGGCAUCACUUUAUUAUUAUAGGCAGCAAUGUCGGUUUUGGAUGGGCGUGCGCCUGAUUAGGUAGUUGGCGGGGUAACGGCCCACCAAGCCUUCGAUCAGUAACUGGUGUGAGAGCACGACCAGUCACACGGGCACUGAGACACGGGCCCGACUCCUACGGGAGGCAGCAGUAAGGAAUAUUGGUCAAUGGACGCAAGUCUGAACCAGCCAUGCCGCGUGCAG